This 296-nucleotide long non-coding RNA is filed under the name Carica papaya (papaya). Its description in RNAcentral is "long non-coding RNA (CPAP_LNC003838)". Lineage: Eukaryota; Viridiplantae; Streptophyta; Magnoliopsida; Brassicales; Caricaceae. The record is from RNAcentral.
GAUAAAACUCUGAUAUGACCUAAUGGUAAGUGUUUAUGAUAUAAUUAUUCACCUUUUAAAUCUUACAAUGUUAUCUAAAUACUGUUUUUCUUACUGAGUAUAUAAAACUCACUUUUUCCAUGCCCCCUCCCAGAUGCAGAAGAUAGUGAGAGACCAUUAACUGACCUGUCAAUUGAAGUUUAUGAGGAUCCUGUGGAUCCGCAAACCUCGAGUGCAUGAUUGUUUUCGCACUCUAAUGAGUCAAAUAACAUAAUGAUAGAAGUGACCAUUUUUAUCUUUUGACAUUUGUUUUUUGU